CACAGCCAAACCAUAUCAUUGACUGACUUAAAUUCAACAGAACUGUGCUUUGGAGGACAUCGUUGCGCUGCUGACUUCUAACACUGAGAGAGAAGGGAGAUUGUGAAAGGUACAAGAGGCAGGGGAGCAGCCCACUGAGCUACCCCAGGAAUUUCCCUGACAAUCAGUUUUAAGGAGGACAUGCAGAAGUUGAAGAUGUGGAACACACAUCCCAUCUAAGGGGUGACAUCCUUCAGUUUGUGGACAGCUGGUCUAAUUCACUGGAGGAGGAACACAGCUCCCCUGGGGCCAUGCUCUGGCCACAGAACAGUGUGCAAGAGGUCAUUUAUGUUCAGGUGAUCCUGCCUUAUCCUGGAGAAAGAAAUGUUAUGCAAGAGGCCAAGAAGAAGCUAAACAAACAAGCCAUGAUGGAUUCCCAUCUCAGCUUAUUACCAUUGGGACAUGUCCUUUUUGUCCAAUCACAUUUCUACAUGGCAGUACAGUCUUCAUCAAACCUAAGCAUUAAAAAAAAAGUUUUCUCUGGGUCUUUGGGUCUUUUGUUU
Molecule: long non-coding RNA, 542 nt
Filed under: Homo sapiens (human)
Lineage: Eukaryota; Metazoa; Chordata; Mammalia; Primates; Hominidae
Description: HSALNT0373322
Source: RNAcentral